This 611-nucleotide ribosomal RNA is filed under the name Morganella morganii. RNAcentral describes it as "partial 23S ribosomal RNA". It matches the Rfam family "Bacterial large subunit ribosomal RNA", at positions 1 to 652 of the family's 2925-position model. The record is from RNAcentral. Lineage: Bacteria; Pseudomonadati; Pseudomonadota; Gammaproteobacteria; Enterobacterales; Morganellaceae.
GGUUAAGCGAAUAAGCGUACACGGUGGAUGCCUAGGCAGUCAGAGGCGAUGAAGGACGUGCUAAUCUGCGAUAAGCGCCGGUAAGGUGAUAUGAACCGUUAUAACCGGCGAUUUCCGAAUGGGGAAACCCAGUGCAAUUCGUUGCACUAUCAUUACCUGAAUACAUAGGGUAAUGAAGCGAACCGGGAGAACUGAAACAUCUAAGUACCCCGAGGAAAAGAAAUCAAACGAGAUUCCCCCAGUAGCGGCGAGCGAACGGGGAGCAGCCCAGGACCUUAAUCAGCAUCAGUGCUAAGAGAACAGUCUGGAAAGGCUGGCCACAGCAGGUGAUAGCCCUGUAUCUGAAAGCACUGGUGUUGUGAGUCCGAUGAGUAAGGCGGGACACGUGUUAUCCUGUCUGAAUACGGGGGGACCAUCCUCCAAGGCUAAAUACUCCUGACUGACCGAUAGUGAACCAGUACCGUGAGGGAAAGGCGAAAAGAACCCCGGCGAGGGGAGUGAAAAAGAACCUGAAACCGUGUACGUACAAGCAGUGGGAGCACCUUUAUGGUGUGACUGCGUACCUUUUGUAUAAUGGGUCAGCGACUUAUAUUCUGUAGCAAGGUUAACCG